GCGGAGGAAAAGAAACCAACAGGGAUUGCCCCAGUAACGGCGAGUGAAGCGGCAACAGCUCAAAUUUGAAAUCUGGUCCCCCCGCGGGGCCCGAGUUGUAAUUUGAAGAGGAUGCUUCUGGCAAGGUGCCGUCCGAGUUCCCUGGAACGGGACGCCGCAGAGGGUGAGAGCCCCGUACGGUCGGACGCCGAGCCUCUGUGAAGCUCCUUCGACGAGUCGAGUAGUUUGGGAAUGCUGCUCAAAAUGGGAGGUAAACCCCUUCUAAAGCUAAAUACCGGCCAGAGACCGAUAGCGCACAAGUAGAGUGAUCGAAAGAUGAAAAGCACUUUGAAAAGAGAGUUAAAAAGCACGUGAAAUUGUUGAAAGGGAAGCGCUUGCGACCAGACUCGCGCCCGUCGGAUCAGCCGUCGCUCGUCGGCGGCGCACUCCUUCGGGCUCGGGCCAGCAUCAGUUCGCCUCGGGGGGAGAAAGGCGGCAGGAAUGUGGCUCUACGGAGUGUUAUAGCCUGUCGUACAAUACCCCCGGGCGGACUGAGGACCGCGC
This 543-nucleotide ribosomal RNA is filed under the name Microascus chartarum. RNAcentral's name for it is "eukaryotic LSU rRNA". It matches the Rfam family "Eukaryotic large subunit ribosomal RNA", at positions 50 to 598 of the family's 3401-position model. The record is from RNAcentral. Lineage: Eukaryota; Fungi; Ascomycota; Sordariomycetes; Microascales; Microascaceae.